RNAcentral lists this ribosomal RNA (439 nucleotides) under uncultured bacterium. RNAcentral's name for it is "partial 16S ribosomal RNA". It matches the Rfam family "Bacterial small subunit ribosomal RNA", at positions 339 to 795 of the family's 1533-position model. The record is from RNAcentral.
CUACGGGAUGCACCAGUGGGGAAUAUUGCACAAUGGGGGAAACCCUGAUGCAGCAACGCCGCGUGGAGGAUGACGCAUUUCGGUGUGUAAACUCCUUUUAUAUAGGAAGAUAAUGACGGUACUAUAUGAAUAAGCACCGGCUAACUUCGUGCCAGCAGCCGCGGUAAUACGGAGGGUGCAAGCGUUACUCGGAAUCACUGGGCGUAAAGCGCGCGCAGGCGGCCUUUUAAGUUGGAUGUGAAAGCCUAUGGCUUAACCAUAGAACUGCAUCCAAAACUAUCAGGCUAGAGUCUGGGAGGGGAAGAUGGAAUUAGUUGUGUAGGGGUAAAAUCCGUAGAGAUAACUAGGAAUACCAAAAGCGAAGGCGAUCUUCUGGAACAGUACUGACGCUGAGGCGCGAAAGCGUGGGGAGCAAACAGGAUUAGAUACCCGCGUAGUC